AGCUAAAUAGUUUAAAUAAAACAUUAAUCUUGUAAAUUAAAUUUAAAAUUUUUUUUUUAGCUU
Molecule: transfer RNA, 63 nt
Filed under: Lasioglossum calceatum
Lineage: Eukaryota; Metazoa; Arthropoda; Insecta; Hymenoptera; Halictidae
Description: tRNA-Thr
Source: RNAcentral